Molecule: ribosomal RNA, 482 nt
Filed under: uncultured bacterium
Lineage: Bacteria
Description: bacterial SSU rRNA
Rfam family: Bacterial small subunit ribosomal RNA
Source: RNAcentral
CAGGACGAACGCUGGCGGCAUGCCUAACACAUGCAAGUCGAACGGAGUAAUGACUUCGGUAUUACGUUAGUGGCGAACGGGUGAGGUAACACGUGAAUAAUCUGCCCUGUACGAUGGGAUAACAGCUGGAAACGGCUGCUAAUACCGUAUAUGACCACGCCGAGGCAUCUCGGAGGGGUGAAAGCGCUUAAGCGGUACAGGAUGAGUUCGCGUCCAAUUAGCUAGUUGGUGAGGUAACGGCCCCACCAAGGCGACGAUUGGUAGCCGACCUGAGAGGGUGAUCGGCCACACUGGAACUGAGACACGGUCCAGACUCCUACGGGAGGCAGCAGUGGGGAAUAUUGGGCAAUGGAGGAAACUUCCUUACCCAGCAAUGCCGCGUGAGUGAUGAAGGUCUUCGGAUUGUAAAGCUCUUUGAUUGGGGACGAAUAAAUGACGGUACCCAAGGAACAAGCCCCGGCUAACUAUGUGCCAGCCGCGGC